GCACUGAAAGUGAGAGUUGGAGGAAUACAAACUGAUUGAUUCAUGGCCAAAACACAUGGCCACUGAAUCAGCAUGUUUUCCUCCAAUAUCUCACCUUCAGUUG
RNAcentral lists this microRNA precursor (103 nucleotides) under Setaria italica (foxtail millet). RNAcentral's name for it is "MIR2275 microRNA precursor family". It matches the Rfam family "MIR2275 microRNA precursor family". Lineage: Eukaryota; Viridiplantae; Streptophyta; Magnoliopsida; Poales; Poaceae. The record is from Rfam by way of RNAcentral.